RNAcentral lists this ribosomal RNA (253 nucleotides) under uncultured bacterium. RNAcentral describes it as "partial 16S ribosomal RNA". It matches the Rfam family "Bacterial small subunit ribosomal RNA", at positions 524 to 776 of the family's 1533-position model. The record is from RNAcentral.
UACGUAGGGGGCGAGCGUUGUCCGGAUUUAUUGGGCGUAAAGAGCGUGUAGGCGGCCAGGUAGGUCCGUUGUGAAAACUCGAGGCUCAACCUCGAGACGUCGAUGGAAACCAUCUGGCUAGAGUCCGGAAGAGGAGAGUGGAAUUCCUGGUGUAGCGGUGAAAUGCGUAGAUAUCGGGAGGAACACCUGAGGCGAAGGCGGGCUACUGGGCCGAUACUGACGCUGAUGUGCGAAAGCCAGGGGAGCGAACGGG